GAAAAACAGACUAAGCGCGGACCGUCCUGGCCCUUGCGGCGGACCGUCCGCAACACCAGGAUGACCCUCGGACAGAACCAAUGCAAAAAAACCCAUGUCUACACUACGGACCGUCCGGAGGGAAAGCAAGGACAGUCUGAGUACACGCGCGAACCGUCCGGUAGGUGAGGAACCGAAAACCCCGAAGGUGAUGGGUUCGGUAAAAUGAAUUAUAGCGUCCUCGCGGACCGUCCGGAUGCAUGACCGGACCGUCCGUGACUGCCUUUAUCUGACAUCUGACGACGCAUUAAAUGCAAAAUAGUCGUUGAUAUAGCCGUUACUGCUGACCGUUGCGUUUUCAGCCGUUGAUGUGCAGGGGCGGACCGUCCGGACCAGGGGCGCGGAUCGUCCGCGGUCAGUAGAAAUGGAGCAACGGCUAGGAAGUGGUUGGUGGCUAUAAAUACAACCCCAACCACCUCCAUUUAAUACACCCAAGCAUUCCAAUCCUCUACAUUUAAUACAAGAGCAAGCAAUCUAUUCCAAGACACAAUCAAAACCUCCAAUCUCUCUAAGUUACACAAUUGAGACAAGUGAUCAUUAGUGAUUAGUAACUUGAGAGAGAGAGAGAUCCGUGUGUUAUUUGUCGCUCUUGUCGCUUGGUGUUUUCAAUCGUGCUUUCUUCAAUUCCCAUUCUUAUUCUCAAGUGACUUGUAAUCAAAGUAAGAGACACCAAGUUUGAUUAAGGAGAAAGCUCACUUGGUCUAGGUGACCGUUUGAGAGAGGGAAAGGGUUGAAAGAAACCCGGUCUUUGUGACCACCUCAACGGGGAGUAGGUUUGCAAGAACCGAACCUCGGUAAAAUAAAUCACCGUGUCAUCCGCUCUAUAUUUCUUGGUUGAUUUGUUUUCGCCCUCUCUUUCGGACUCGUUUUUAGUUCUAACGCUAACUCCGGCUUGUAGUUGUGCUUAAAGUUUGUAAAUUUCAGAUUUGCCUAUUCACCCCCCCUCUAGGCGACUUUCACAAAGUAUGCAUUCAUCUUUCUUAUUAGGCUUAUUUAGGUCAAGUGAGAGUUUGUGCUUGUAACUCUUAGUGAUUGACACCACCUAGAUUGCUUGGUGGCAAUCAGAUGUUUGUGUCCAACUCAUGAUGUAAUAAGUUAUGAGUGAUGCACCAUGUCAAAGAGGCAAAGUAUCAAGCCAUAAAGAGCACUUGAUUCUUACACAGAUUAAGGGGGAACCAUACCAUUGCAAGGGUGCCCCAACGAGGACUGGUGGAGAGUGUCGACUCUCCAACAUCUCAGGAAAAUAUUGUUUGUUCUUAACCCUUCUAUACUUUGAUUAUUUACUUUUGAGC
Molecule: long non-coding RNA, 1331 nt
Filed under: Zea mays
Lineage: Eukaryota; Viridiplantae; Streptophyta; Magnoliopsida; Poales; Poaceae
Description: long non-coding RNA NONZMAT002537
Source: RNAcentral